RNAcentral lists this ribosomal RNA (455 nucleotides) under Streptococcus infantis. RNAcentral describes it as "bacterial SSU rRNA". It matches the Rfam family "Bacterial small subunit ribosomal RNA", at positions 28 to 469 of the family's 1533-position model. The record is from RNAcentral. Lineage: Bacteria; Bacillati; Bacillota; Bacilli; Lactobacillales; Streptococcaceae.
GACGAACGCUGGCGGCGUGCCUAAUACAUGCAAGUAGAACGCUGAAGGAGGAGCUUGCUCUUCUGGAUGAGUUGCGAACGGGUGAGUAACGCGUAGGUAGCCUGCCUGGUAGCGGGGGAUAACUAUUGGAAACGAUAGCUAAUACCGCAUAACAGUAGAUAUCGCAUGAUAGCUGCUUGAAAGGUGCAAUUGCACCACUACCAGAUGGACCUGCGUUGUAUUAGCUAGUUGGUGAGGUAACGGCUCACCAAGGCAACGAUACAUAGCCGACCUGAGAGGGUGAUCGGCCACACUGGGACUGAGACACGGCCCAGACUCCUACGGGAGGCAGCAGUAGGGAAUCUUCGGCAAUGGACGGAAGUCUGACCGAGCAACGCCGCGUGAGUGAAGAAGGUUUUCGGAUCGUAAAGCUCUGUUGUAAGAGAAGAACGAGUGUGAGAGUGGAAAGUUCACAC